GGCUGGUCCGAUGGUAGUGGGUUAUCAGAACUUAUUAACAUUAGUGUCGCUGAAGUUGGUAUACAUGCCCCCACUGCUAAAUUUGGCUAUUAA
This 93-nucleotide Y RNA is filed under the name Propithecus coquereli (Coquerel's sifaka). RNAcentral's name for it is "Y RNA (ENSPCOG00000000421.1)". It matches the Rfam family "Y RNA". From Rfam's summary of the family: Y RNAs are components of the Ro ribonucleoprotein particle (Ro RNP), in association with Ro60 and La proteins. Lineage: Eukaryota; Metazoa; Chordata; Mammalia; Primates; Indriidae. The record is from Rfam by way of RNAcentral.